This 253-nucleotide ribosomal RNA is filed under the name uncultured bacterium. Its description in RNAcentral is "partial 16S ribosomal RNA". It matches the Rfam family "Bacterial small subunit ribosomal RNA", at positions 524 to 776 of the family's 1533-position model. The record is from RNAcentral.
GACGUAGGUCCCGAGCGUUGCCCGGAUUUACUGGGCGUAAAGUGCGCGUAGGCGGCUCGGCAAGUCGUCCGUGAAAGCCCGGGGCUCAACCGCGGGAGGCCGGGCGAGACUGUCUGGCUAGAGGACGGCAGAGGAAGAUGGAGCGGAUGGAGUAGCGGUGAAAUGCGUAGAUACCGGCCGAAAAACCGAUGGCGAAGGCAUUCCUCUGGGCAGUUACUGACGCUGAGGCGCGAAAGCGUGGGGAGCGAACAGG